Long non-coding RNA from Oryzias melastigma (Indian medaka), 1449 nucleotides. RefSeq lists it as uncharacterized. The transcript has 4 exons. The record is from RefSeq and is a predicted model, not a curated record. Lineage: Eukaryota; Metazoa; Chordata; Actinopteri; Beloniformes; Adrianichthyidae.
UUCAGCAGAGGCUGCAUCUGCAAACAGCUCAGAUCUACUUCUGGUGGCUCAGCUGCUGACUCGCGUUUGUGAGACGGGACUCAAAUCUCGCGAGUCCCAACCAACGAGAUUUGAGCCGACCCACAGCCGUUAGCUGUGACCCGCAAGCCGCCAUAAAUUGAGCGUCAGAGCGACUUUCGACAUGAUGUACUCAUUUCGUCCUAUAAUAUUAUAUCGUAGCUGUCACUAGAGUGAGUUUUGUUGAUUAAAUGAGCGGAUAAGUGGCAGGAGGGGCUUUGAGCACUGACUUCUGCCGCAAGCUGAAGCUGCGCGCCACUCACGGGCUUUGGGUUGAAGCUGACGGCUGGUCGGUCUGCAGAAGUUCUUCGCCGGAGCGGAAUAUGCAUUGAGUAAAUCCACAGAGACCUUCCAGGAAACCCCAAGAGGGCAUGUGCUGGUGGUUCAUCCAGGCAAGCUGGUUGAUGGUAGGAUGUACCACAACUGGAGUCCCAGGGAGGCCUUCAUGGCGCGCUUCACAGAAACAAUCCCCUCUGGUGGACAACUCAAUAGAGAAGAAUUAAUGGCUCUGGACAGAGAACCUGGAAUCUCCAAUUGUUGCCGUCGUCAGGGGAAGAGGAGACGUGGGUGCAGGUGAAGCGCUGACAGGCAUGGUAGUGUGACGGCGGAACUUCACCUUGCAGCCGAUGGUUUGUCUGCGAUGGCAGCGAGGUGCGGGCACCGCUGGAGUGGCAGCAGAUGGCCUCCUUCAGGAUCCGGCGUCGGGAAGAAGAUGUUGUCGCUAGCCAGUAGGACAUGGGGAGUUCCAGCCGGUGACGCUCGUCUGAUCCGUAUGAGCUGAUCCUCAGGACCCAAGUCGAAAUGGUGCCUGCUAAGGUCCUUCUGUAUUUCACGGGGAUCCCAGUGGGAUCUCUCUGAAGAGCAGGGAAAUCGAAUUCUGGUAAAGUCUGUUAUGGCCGCUGCGGAAGGAGCCAGAGUAUUGGCAGCCAGACUUGCAAAGUGGUUCAAGAGACACAGGAGAGGAGGCUUUUGAGUCUCGUCAAAUCUCCCCCUGGGCCUUCGGACAACCUCUUCUUCAUCCAACGAUUUGUCUUUAGGAGUGAAGAAUGAAGAAGGCCGUGCACAGGUGGAAGGAUCCCAUGACACUGUGUCCUGGAACGCAGCUUUAAGCAAGGUAAACCUUUUCGACUGUGCAAAGGAGACGUACAUAAACUUAGAGAGCAGACCGUCCUUCAUAUCCAGCUCAGCUCUUAAACGACAUGUUUUCUUUAAGUUCAGUGAUGAUCCCAGCAGCUUUAUGCAGAACUUGUGAGUCCAGAUUAUUGGUAGUAUUUGGUUUUUGCUUUUCAUCUCGACUCACUUCUGCUAUACCUUUGUCUGCCUUUUUCUUCAACAAUGUGUGUUGUCCUUGUUGAAAACAGUGAUAAGCCAGAAGUUAAAGCUUUCAGUUUA